This 184-nucleotide unclassified non-coding RNA is filed under the name soil metagenome. RNAcentral's name for it is "partial internal transcribed spacer 1". The record is from RNAcentral.
AAAGAUAUAGCAUAUCCUUCUGAAUAUACUUUAUUAACCCAUUCCGAGUACCUUACCCGUUGCUUCCGCGAGGCUGUCCUCACGGCCCUCUGAAGAUUUAUCUUUGGGAGUCCUUGCGGAAGGUAUACAAUAAACUCUUGCAUUACCAUGUCAUCUGUCUGAAUCUGUUUUAAAACAAAUAUUA